AUGAAUAUAGCAGGUGGAGGACAUCACAUUCAUCAUCAACCCCACCUGUUCUGCUUCUCCCUUAAAUCAACACCCCUCCACCCACACACACUUCCCACACACCCCAUAUUACAAAUAGGAGUGAUACGGUUAGCAAGGUGUAGUUGUUCUGUGCUUGGAGAUGAUGGCCAGUUCCUGCUGACCAGGUUUUUUGAAAUCAGCCACUGGGCAUUAGCAAAAAAUCAUAUUUGCAGCCUGUUGGAGAUGUUCAGGAAGGAGGGGCGGGCACAGAGUUUGGCUGGGAGCAAGCAUGGCAUGGCCAUGUCCAAUCUCUUUGGUCAGAAAUUCCUCAUCGCUUUCUUUUUAAGUGUCUUAGCAUUGACAGAUUGAUGUUUUAUCUACAUUUAAAUUAGAUUAGAUCAUUAUAAUUAGAAUAAUACACUUCACUGAUUUAAUUUUGGGCCUCUGCUUUCAAGAUGAAAAUGAUUUUCCUGGCAAAUAUAUUGUAGGAGCUUGUAAUUUGGCAAAGAAUUACAUACUGUCUUUGCUCCCAUCGCAGAAAGGCAGAAAACAGACCUCUGUAUUAACCUCACUUGUUCUCAAAUAAAGUCUUUACUGAUGGAGGGUGGGAGAUUGAAAUAAAAGAAUAAAACUACAAGUAAAUGCUGCUUAUAAACAGUCUGGUCAUGGCAAUUAUUGAUUGUUUUAUGUGAUAAUCAGUAGAAAUAUAACAAUUCACGCUAGUGUUAAGCUUGACCCUACAUUUCAUAGUUCUGUGUCUAUUUUGAAAGUGCUUUUUCAACUGUAUACAUUUAAAUGCUUUUCAAAUGAAUAAAUGCUAGGCAUUCUGCACUUGAACCAUACUAAGCUAUUACGGGUGCACCUUCAAAGAAAGACAAAUGUUUACAGACUGUGGUCUGCUGAAGAUCUUCAACAAUUUAAAAGUGAGCUCCAUUCAAAAGCCUGAGCAUAUUUUUGAAUAAAGGAAUACACUUUAUUA
This 979-nucleotide long non-coding RNA is filed under the name Anas zonorhyncha (Eastern spot-billed duck). RNAcentral describes it as "lncRNA (ENSAZOG00000013269.1)". The record is from RNAcentral. Lineage: Eukaryota; Metazoa; Chordata; Aves; Anseriformes; Anatidae.